Molecule: long non-coding RNA, 3769 nt
Filed under: Sus scrofa (pig)
Lineage: Eukaryota; Metazoa; Chordata; Mammalia; Artiodactyla; Suidae
Description: lncRNA (ENSSSCG00000051231.2)
Source: RNAcentral
AUCCAGUGGCCAUUCCGCUCUUCCCCCAGGGCGCCCCGAGUCUGGUAGUCAUUAAAAAGACAUAGCCCUUUAAAAGUGUGACACCGUCUUCCUUAAAGAGCCUGAAGCAAUGGCCCCAAAGAUAUCAGGACUCCACCUCUAGGACCUGAGACGGUGACCUUAUUGGGGAAAGAACUUUUUGUAGACUGUUGCCUUCAGAGCUCAGCCUUGCCUGAAAUCCAUCCACUCAAGAGCAGGUUCGCAAAGGGGAAAUGAAGGUCCACGGCAGAACGUGAAGAGGAAAAUGCUUUUCCAAACCCAGGCUGAGGGCUGAGCCACGAGGUUGCCUGAUCUUCCCAGGUCCUCGUUCCUGAAUCCUGAUGGCCCAGGCAGUGCCUCUCCACCCAGCCCCCCGCCUGCCCAGACUCUGCCUCGGAACUAGAAGACUCUUCAAAAGAAAAAAGGGUGAAGUGAGCCAUGAGCAGAAGCUGGAAACAAAUAGUCCCCCUUUAGAUGUAGGUCAGCACUUCUCCACUGGCCCAACGCACACCAUCCCCCGUCCAGGAGGCGUGUCUGUUCAGCGGCACUAGCACCUCGCCCCAGCCCCUGCCGAAGGCAUCAAGCGUGGGCGAGGUCAGCCUCAAAAAUGAUUCUCCAAACGCGUUGGAUCUCCAGAUGCCUUCCGCGUAGAAAGCUAGGAUUCAUUUAUGAACAACCCGAAUCCGUUUCCCUGUAGGAGCAAAGGAGAAGAACGUGUCGUCUCCUCCAGACGGGGACACGGAGAAGGGGUGGCGUGAGGUCCCCUCUCAGAGGGGACGCGGGUCCUUUGGAAGAUGUGUCCUCGCCGUCUCCAGGGAACUGGAGGGUGUCAGCUCCUCUGAAGCGAGUAUGCUGGUAAACGGAGAAUUUUCAAAGAAUUGGCUUUUUAAACAUUCAGUACCCAACGCGUUGAUGGACAAGUUCCACGUUAACUCAGUUGAAACGGCCAGCCUCCGACUGUCGGGUUGCUUGAUGUGACAAACCCAGCUCUAUGGCUGUGGCUGUAGACGGAGACGCUCACGUAAUGUGGGACGCGUGUUGGAUGCGGUGACUCUGCCACCUCUCGGUCUUUCGUAUCUGUCAGUCCGUGGGUCACAUCUAUCCGUCUUUCAUCUCCCCAUGGCUCUAUCCCAUCUCCACUCUUCCAUCGCUCAGGAGCUGUGUAUCUAAUAUCAUCUGUCCACCCCCCGUCAUUGAUCUGCUCCAACAUCUCUCUACCACUGAUUGCAUCUGUAAGUCAUUCUUCUAUUUAUCUAUCAUUUUAUCUAUGUAUAUGUCUGUCCAUCCGGCCAAAAUAUCUAUUUAUCUAUCAACUGUCUGUCCAUCCAUCUUAUCUGUCUACCUAUUUCUCUAUCUUUUUAUCCAUCUAUCCAUCUCUAUCUAUAAUCGCUGUAUCCAUCUGUAUGUCUGUCUGUCUGUCCAUCCAUCCAUCAUAUCUUUCUGUCUGUCUGUCUUUCUAUCAUUGAUGUCUACUGUCUCUCAUCUAUGUCUGUCUGUCUAUCUAUCAUCUAUCUGUGUCUAUCAUCGAUCCAAUCAAUCAUUCACAGACAUGCCCUCACUCAUUCUGCUGUUACCCUCGUUCUUCCAAUGAAAACCCACCUGAUGAAACCCUUAGUUACCUGAGGAAGGGCUGCAGCCCUAGAGAUGGAGCUGAGACGUGGCCCUUCCUACCUCUUUCCUGAAAGUGAUGCGACUCCCGGCCAGUUACGUUUGACCUGCUCCAGGGUCGUGGUUACACGUAUUCGCUCGCAUACACAACCGUAGUCAUUGGUGUCGUGGGUCCAUAGACUACUCUGCGGUAACUCAGGCAGCGUUGUCAGUUUGGGUAUUUCAUUUUAUUCCCCUUAUUAUUGUUGUGUAGAGUCCUUGCAGACACCUGUUGAGCACACGUUUGAAUGUGGGAAACACUUCUCUCUGAUGGAGCACGGGAGGUGAAUUGCAUAUGUGUGAGCUUCCUAGGCACAAGCAUCCUUGGACACUGGGAUUUACAGGAUCGGCGGCUUCUGGGGAAGCUCAUGGAGCCCACAUCAGUGGGCUGUUACCUGGGACCAGAACUUCUCCUCAUGGCUGAAUCAGGUCCCGUGUUUUGCUGUGGACGUAGUCGUCUGUUACCUCGGAUGUGUGUGAACUAUUUGACCUGCUCUGGAUGCUGUUCACACCGCAAUUCAUGUUGCCAUCACUCCCUCCAGAGACAAGAUGCAAAGGAAUCGGUUUCACCGUGGGACACAGCCCAGGGCUCAGAGCUCCAUUGCCAUGGCAGAUAAAAUCCAGAGAGGAAACAUCGGGGCUGUACCCGUGGACUCAAGGACUCAGCUCUGCCCUGCGGUGGGCACGCAGAUGGACAUAGCCUCGACGGGUGGACGUGGUUGUGGGCGCGUGACAUGAGGAGCCAGAGACACGCAGAAUGAGGUUUCUCCUGAGCAGGAAGCGUGCCCGUGAGCAACCAGCUGAGAAGUCGACCCAUCACAUGUGAAAAUGAGAAAGUCCCGUCGAGGCCAGACCCCGCUGUCCUUGGAAAGGUGUUGAGUUGAUUUCUUCCAAGGGGUGAGGGAGCAAUUCAGGUUCCCUGCCCAGCGGGUGCUCUGCCUCCCUAGUUCCGGAGGCUGGACUUUCAAGACCUGCUGAGAGCCAUCUUCCUGGUUCAUCAAUGGACGUUCUCUCCAUCAGGACAGAGACAAGACAGUUCCUUCUUACCCGUGAGAGAUACAUGUAUUGUCCAUGACUCCGCAGGAAAUUGAUUCCCGAACCCGAUGCAGAGAUGGGGAAGGGGGGAGCCAAAAGAAGGGUUUGCUGUCCAUCUUUGGCGCCAGAGGAAAGUCAGCCCCCAGAAGCUAAGCACUGAGAAGUCCAAUCUUCCACAUCCAGGGGUUUCCAGAUUCCCACUCGUGUAAGAAAUGCAGCGUGAUGUCCCAGUUUUCGUGUUUUCUUGAGAUGUGGUCCCCUUGGAGGAGCUUCCCCUGCCAGGAUGGAAUUUGAGAGCUUUCGGCUCGAGAAGAAGGGAAAUGCCCCGAACAGCCACCCGCCAGGCCCCUUGUGGCCGCUGAGAAGUUGGGGAGGAUGCAGCCAUAAAGGAGGAUGUGAAAAGUAGGCGAGAUCGCAAGGCACGAAUCUUGGAAUCUUCGUGUUUCAUCAGGAAGGCAGAGGAGGAAGGAGUCUGCGAGGUGCAGCCGCCUCUUCUGACCUCAGGAUGGAUGGAGAGGGCGUGAAGGACCCGUCAGUGACCAGCUGUUGCACAGAGAGCCCAGGGGAAGGGGGUGCCCUGGCGGGCACAUGGGAACCGAUGCUGCAGCUCAUGAAAGUUGGAGGAACAAACUGCUUUGUCCCAGGAGAAGAGGAGCAGGAUGGAACGGACGCCCGCUGUAAUCGUGGGCGGAACCGGAGGGACGGAUGCAACGCUUGGCGCUUCCGAUUCUGACAGUGGCUGACCUCACGGGAGAUGGAUGGGAAGGGUCCAGAUGUUCGAUGAGGAAACGGAGGCCACUAAGUGUUGUGUAACGUCCCAAGGGACCCAGCUCUGAAGCGGUGGAGUCAGAAUGGGUUGCUUAACAGCCACCCCCACCCUCGGCUCGGAAGACGUCCACACCCAGUUGAUCCCUGGCCUCGCUCGGCGAGUUAAGGAUCUGGUGUUGCCACAGGCUGUGGUGUAGGUCACAGGUGCAGUUCGGAGCCUGUGUUGCGGUGGCUGUGGUGUAGACUGGCAGCUGCAGCACUGAUUCGACCCCUAGCUCGGGAACUUCCAUGUGCUGCGGGG